UUGAUUUUAAAUUAUCAAAUUGAACUGCCUGUGUGACUUAAUUAUUAUAAACACUGAGCACUAUUGCCGUUGCAAAUUAAUCGUAUCUGAGAAUAUCUGAGAAUAUCUGUAAAAGAAAAUUGUCGCGUUGUCCGAUCGGUCUUUCGACAAACAGAACAGUUCAAUAUUCAUAUAUUAUUCAGAUUAUUUAUCAUAUAACAAGUGAAGUUCCGGAGUGCAGUGCAGUGCAAUGCUUUUGAAAACGCAGCGUCAGCCCAUGGUGGAAGGAUGGAGAAAAACGUGCCUGAAAAUAAGAAUUUGGCAAGGGUCGAAAAUCGCGACUAAAAAAUGUCAAAAAUCCGACAUAUGGAGGGAAAAAAAACAAAAAAAAAACAAAAAAAAGGAAACACAGACAAGGGGG
Diprion similis is the source of this 400-nucleotide long non-coding RNA. RefSeq lists it as uncharacterized. The record is from RefSeq and is a predicted model, not a curated record. The transcript has 2 exons. NCBI's taxonomy places the organism in Eukaryota, Metazoa, Arthropoda, Insecta, Hymenoptera, Diprionidae.